Long non-coding RNA from Macadamia integrifolia, 393 nucleotides. RefSeq lists it as uncharacterized. The transcript is spliced from 3 exons. NCBI's taxonomy places the organism in Eukaryota, Viridiplantae, Streptophyta, Magnoliopsida, Proteales, Proteaceae. The record is from RefSeq and is a predicted model, not a curated record.
AGAUUGAGAAGAAUUGAGGUGAUAAAAAUGACAUCGAAUAUAUCCGCUUGUGAUAUUGCAAAGUGUGAUUACUGUGGGAAAGGUUGCUCAGUUUUCACUUCUAAGUCAGGGUCACAUGUUGGAAGGAAAUUUUUUAAAUGUUCAAUGAAUUGCCACUUCUUCAUGUGGGUUGACCAUCUUAAGAUGUGUGACUGUGGGAACGGUCAGUGUAAGGUCAGAACUGCGAAAACAAGUGCAAAUUAUGGUCGAUAUUUUUGGUGCUGUCCACAAUCAACUGGGGUUGAAAACAAAGGUUGUGGAAUGUUUGAAUGGAUAUCAAGUUCAAGCCCAAGUUGUGAUACUUACCAGACUCCACCUAGGUCCCUAUGCUCAGAAACAUCUCCUUCCCCUUCA